RNAcentral lists this ribosomal RNA (257 nucleotides) under uncultured prokaryote. RNAcentral describes it as "partial 16S ribosomal RNA". It matches the Rfam family "Bacterial small subunit ribosomal RNA", at positions 524 to 780 of the family's 1533-position model. The record is from RNAcentral.
UACGGAGGAUGCGAGCGUUAUCCGGAUUUAUUGGGUUUAAAGGGUGCGUAGGUUGGUAAUUAAGUCAGUGGUGAAAUACUCCGGCUCAACCGGGGGGCUGCCGUUGAUACUGGUUACCUUGAGUUUAGAUGAUGUGGGCGGAAUGUGUCAUGUAGCGGUGAAAUGCAUAGAGAUGACACAGAACACCGAUAGCGAAGGCAGCUCACAAAGCUAUUACUGACGCUGAUGCACGAAAGCGUGGGGAUCAAACAGGAUUA